This is a long non-coding RNA of Mercenaria mercenaria, 550 nucleotides long. RefSeq lists it as uncharacterized. NCBI's taxonomy places the organism in Eukaryota, Metazoa, Mollusca, Bivalvia, Venerida, Veneridae. The transcript is spliced from 2 exons. The record is from RefSeq and is a predicted model, not a curated record.
UAGUAAAUAUAAAAGGGAGCCUUCACCUGUUCACAGAACUCCUGCCGCGAAAUCAGAUUACGAGGUUUGUUACCCACUCGAUUGCAUCCACAUAGGCGUACACUGUUGGCUGCGUGAGACGAUCCAUAGAAAUGUAAAAGAUGCCAGAAAAAGAUGUAACCAAAGGGAGACCACUGCUUCCAACAGAUACACAAGAAACCCUUUCCGGGGAUGAACCACUACUGACCUCUUCGGACCUAGAGAAAUAGUUUUGACUAUUAAACGGCUAGUAUUUUAAUAAUUAUAAAAUUGUAUAACAGUAUACUAGUAUAUGUUGAACAAAAGCUUUUACAACAGUGUGGAUGUUUUAUUUAAUUUUCCUUGAUUUAUGUCCAUACCAGCAUUCCAUACCUAUCCAGAACCACGUUUUAGGUUACAUGUCACAUUUUGAAAUGAAAAAAAUGCCAUUUUUGUAGGGAUCUCUUUAAAUUCUCAGUAUAACAAAUUGUAUUGCAUAUAUAUUAUCAGGUAUUUAUUAUUUUCAUACUUUAUAAUCAUCUGUAUUUCCGUG